CUACGGGGUGCUCCAGUGAGGAAUAUUGCACAAUGGAGGAAACUCUGAUGCAGCAACGCCGCGUGGAGGAUGACGCAUUUCGGUGUGUAAACUCCUUUUAUAUGUCAAGAAAAUGACGGUAGCAUAUGAAUAAGCACCGGCUAACUCCGUGCCAGCAGCCGCGGUAAUACGGAGGGUGCAAGCGUUACUCGGAAUCACUGGGCGUAAAGGACGCGUAGGCGGAAUAUCAAGUCAGGUGUGAAAUCCUACAGCUUAACUGUAGAACUGCACUUGAAACUGGUAACCUAGAGUAUGGGAGGGGGAGAUGGGAUUAGUGGUGUAGGGGUAAAAUCCGUAGAUAUCACUAGGAAUACCUAAAGCGAAGGCGAUCUCCUGGAACAUAACUGACGCUAAGGCGUGAAAGCGUGGGGAGCAAACAGGAUUAGAUACCCGCGUAGUC
This 439-nucleotide ribosomal RNA is filed under the name uncultured bacterium. Its description in RNAcentral is "partial 16S ribosomal RNA". It matches the Rfam family "Bacterial small subunit ribosomal RNA", at positions 339 to 795 of the family's 1533-position model. The record is from RNAcentral.